RNAcentral lists this ribosomal RNA (371 nucleotides) under uncultured organism. Its description in RNAcentral is "bacterial SSU rRNA". It matches the Rfam family "Bacterial small subunit ribosomal RNA", at positions 525 to 896 of the family's 1533-position model. The record is from RNAcentral.
ACGAAGGGAUCUAGCGUUGUUCGGAUUUACUGGGCGUAAAGGGCGCGUAGGCGGUUAUGUAAGUAAGAUGUGAAAGCCCUGGGCUUAACCCGGGAACUGCAUUUUAAACUGCAUAGCUUGAGUGUUGGAGAGGUAAGUAGAAUUCCCAGUGUAGAGGUGAAAUUCGUAGAUAUUGGGAAGAAUACCAGUGGCGAAGGCGACUUACUGGACAACAACUGACGCUGAGGCGCGAAAGCGUGGGGAGCAAACAGGAUUAGAUACCCUGGUAGUCCACGCCGUAAACGAUGUGUGCUAGACGCUGGAAAGUUUACUUUUCGGUGUCGCCGCUAACGCAAUAAGCACACCGCCUGGGGAGUACGGCCGCAAGGUUG